GACGAACGCUGGCGGCGUGCUUAACACAUGCAAGUCGAACGGAAAGGCACUGCUUUUGUGGGGUGCUCGAGUGGCGAACGGGUGAGUAACACGUGAGUAACCUGCCCUUGACUUUGGGAUAACUUCAGGAAACUGGGGCUAAUACCGGAUAGGAGCUCCUGCUGCAUGGUGGGGGUUGGAAAGUUUCGGCGGUUGGGGAUGGACUCGCGGCUUAUCAGCUUGUUGGUGGGGUAGUGGAUUACCAAGGCUUGGACGGGUAGCCGGCCCUAGAGGGUGACCGGCCACAUUGGGACUGCGAGACGGCCCAGACUCCUACGGUAGGCAGCAGUGGGGAAUAUUGCACAAUGGGCGGAAGCCUGAUGCAGCAACGCCGCGUGCGGGAUGACGGCCUUCGGGGUGUAAACCGCUUUCGCCUGUGACGAAGCGUGAGUGACGGUAAUGGGUAAAGAAGCACCGGCUAACUACGUG
Molecule: ribosomal RNA, 468 nt
Filed under: uncultured bacterium
Lineage: Bacteria
Description: partial 16S ribosomal RNA
Rfam family: Bacterial small subunit ribosomal RNA
Source: RNAcentral